GGGGGCGUUCAUGGGAUUCGACGGGGAUCGAUCGAGCGUCGGCAGCGAGCCGAGGGGCUGCGACCUUCGUCAAAAACGCAGGUUGCCAAAUGUAACUGGCAAACAAGAAAACUACGCUCUGGCUGCUUAAUUCCAGCCAGGAUCCGCUUCACCGUCGCCCGUGCGGUGUUGCCGGGUCUCAAAGCUAGCGGGCUAGCCGACCGAAGUCGCCGCCGGUCGGAAGGCGAAAUUCAGGCGGCUGGCCGGAUGGAAGGCCUGUCACUGGGCAGUCCAUGCGGCGAGACUUAAUACAGUGACUGCGCUCGGAGAAACCGGCGUGGCGAGGUCUCCGGACAGCGGUUCGACUCCGCUCGCCUCCACCA
This 362-nucleotide transfer-messenger RNA is filed under the name Planifilum fulgidum. Its description in RNAcentral is "Standard tmRNA". It matches the Rfam family "transfer-messenger RNA". From Rfam's summary of the family: Bacterial tmRNA, also known as 10Sa RNA or SsrA, is named for its dual tRNA and mRNA-like properties. Its role is to liberate the mRNA from a stalled ribosome. RNAcentral also lists the same sequence under 1 other name. The record is from Rfam by way of RNAcentral. Lineage: Bacteria; Bacillati; Bacillota; Bacilli; Caryophanales; Thermoactinomycetaceae.